UUGUAAAAAGGUAUAUAAACAUUUCAAUGGACAGUGAGUAUAUAUCACUUUCAACCGUGAGCUCAAAGAAUCUUCAACAAAAGUAAAGAUGACUUUUACAUCAGCUUUCAUCGUGGCAGUUGCUACCUUUCUGGCACUUGUAGAUUACACGGUCGCCAAACCCAAAACAGGACUAACAGGGACCAGUAAGUAAUGGAAGUCAACUCUAAAAUGUGACGCAGCUUAAGGUGUACAUGCUUUAUAAUUAUUAAAAAUAAAUAAAACAAGAAAAUACCAAA
Macrosteles quadrilineatus (aster leafhopper) is the source of this 278-nucleotide long non-coding RNA. RefSeq lists it as uncharacterized. Lineage: Eukaryota; Metazoa; Arthropoda; Insecta; Hemiptera; Cicadellidae. The transcript has 3 exons. The record is from RefSeq and is a predicted model, not a curated record.